RNAcentral lists this ribosomal RNA (400 nucleotides) under uncultured bacterium. Its description in RNAcentral is "bacterial SSU rRNA". It matches the Rfam family "Bacterial small subunit ribosomal RNA", at positions 355 to 778 of the family's 1533-position model. The record is from RNAcentral.
CUGGGAAUCGUGCGCAAUGGGCGAAAGCCUGACGCCGCGACGCCGCGUGUAGGAUGAAGGCCUUAGGGUUGUAAACUACUUUUAUAGUCGCCGAAAGACGACUUUGAAUAAGCACCCGCUAACUACGUGCCAGCAGCUGCGGUAAGACGUAGGGUGCGAGCGUUACCCGGAUUUAUUGGGCGUGAAGAGUGCGUAGGUUUUUCGGUAAGUUGCGUUUUAAAGACCGGGGCUUAACUCCGGGAAUGGGCGCAAUACUGCCGGAAUUGAAGGACUUAGGGGCUACUGGAACUUAUCAUGUAGGGGUGAAAUCCGUUGAUAUGAUAAGGAACGCCAAGGGCGAAGGCAGGUAGCUGGGGGUUUCCUUAAAAAGGACUCCGCUGAUCCGCAAGGUGAAACGGAG